UAGGGAAUAUUGGACAAUGGGUGAGAGCCUGAUCCAGCCAUGCCGCGUGCAGGAUGAAGGCCUUCGGGUUGUAAACCGCUGUCGUAGGGGAGAAAGGGUCGUUGAAGAAACGACUUUGAUCUAUCCUAGGAGGAAGUCCGGGCUAAGUUCGUGCCAGCAGCCGCGGUAACACGAACCGGACAAACGUUAUUCGGAAUUACUGGGCUUAAAGGGUGCGUAGGCGGUGCGGUAAGUGCGGUGUGAAAUCCCACGGCUCAACCGUGGAAUUGCGCUGCAUACUGCCGUGCUAGAGGGAGACAGGGGUAAGCGGAACUGAUGGUGGAGCGGUGAAAUGCGUUGAUAUCAUCAGGAACACCGGUGGCGAAGGCGUCUACCUGGCCUAAUACUGACACUGAGGCACGAAAGCGUGGGGAGCAAACAGGAUUAGAUACCCCUGUAGUCCCUGAGCGGGCUGGCAAGGCGCAU
RNAcentral lists this ribosomal RNA (465 nucleotides) under uncultured bacterium. Its description in RNAcentral is "bacterial SSU rRNA". It matches the Rfam family "Bacterial small subunit ribosomal RNA", at positions 355 to 825 of the family's 1533-position model. The record is from RNAcentral.